UAAGGGAACAUUUCAGGAUCUGAGACUGAUGACGUAUUAAAAUCAGUACGUUUUCACCGCCUCUGUUUUAGGUGACGACAUUCCCUCCCGCAUGAGUUUUCUAGCCCAUGUGCCUGUGGGAUGUUGUUUUGUACUUAUCAUCUAUAUCAUCAUCACUGUCAUCUACCUGAAGAAGAAGAAAAGGGCUGUUAAUCACUCUGUUCUGCAGGAAGGCAGGGACCAAGACACACUGAGCGUGGAGAAAGAACAACAGACCUGAAUAGCUCUGUAUGCACCUAUGUGAUUUACUCCUACUAACACAGACACCCGUCACAGAACAAAUCAAGAGGAAGUUAGCAAAAACACCACUGAGCUAGUUCAUAAACAGUGAUAUAUAUACUGGCCACCAGAUGGCAGCAUGCAAGAGCUCCUCUCUCUCUGACUCUCCCACACACUCCCUCCCUCCCUCUGUUGUUUUCUUCUGCCGUCUUCCUCCACUCUCUGUCCAGCACACAGCCUGUAGUGACCCUCCUUUCAGUUCUGAGCCUAAUGCCUGUCAGCGUCACUCUCUUUGAUUUUGCUGAUUGUCAAUAUUACUGAGCUCUAAGACGUGACGUCCAGCCAGAGUGAGUCCAUUAAUGCGAGUGCAAAAUAAAAACUUUCAUCUCUUA
Molecule: non-coding RNA, 650 nt
Organism: Paramormyrops kingsleyae
Lineage: Eukaryota; Metazoa; Chordata; Actinopteri; Osteoglossiformes; Mormyridae
Source: RefSeq, a predicted model, not a curated record